Molecule: non-coding RNA, 208 nt
Organism: Oryza glumipatula
Lineage: Eukaryota; Viridiplantae; Streptophyta; Magnoliopsida; Poales; Poaceae
Source: Rfam
AAUAAGUACUAUUUUACACUAUUCACGUUCAACGUUUGACCGUUCAUCUUAUUUGAAAAAUUUAUAUGAUUAGUAUUUUUAUUGCUAUUAGAAGAUAAAACGUGAAUAGUACUUUAUGUGUGACUAAAUAUUUUUAAAUUUUUUAUAAAUUUUUUAAAUAAGAUGGACGGUCAAACGUUGGACACGGAUAUCUACGGCUGCACUUAUU